Molecule: ribosomal RNA, 2289 nt
Filed under: Triticum aestivum (bread wheat)
Lineage: Eukaryota; Viridiplantae; Streptophyta; Magnoliopsida; Poales; Poaceae
Description: partial small subunit ribosomal RNA
Source: RNAcentral
AUGCUCCACACCCGCGCAGAGGUUCCAUUUCAAGUGCCCCUCGAGGUUAACGUUGUUCUGAUUGGUUUCAACGGUGAUGGAGGGUAUAGAUACCCUUUGGAUGGGCACAAGCUUGAGCAAUUCCUAAAGAUGAGCUUUCCACUCCAUAGGCCCUCUUGUUUCGAGACAGGGGAGCCAAUUGAUAUUGAGCACCAUAUCAUGUAUAAUGUCAUAGCGGCUGGACAACCAGAGCUUAUUUCGCUUGAGAAGUCACUGAAGGAGGCUAUGGUUUCUGCAGGAACUGCGAGAGAGAGUGAAUAUGGUAGGGAAUUCCCUCUCUUUGAGGUAGAAGCAACUGUAGUGGAACCUACAUUCGAGAGGCUAUACUCAUUUAUUUUUGAUAUGGAGCCUGGUCGCUCUGCAACUGAGAUGGAUAGGCCUGUACCUGUUGCAAUAUUUGUUGUUAAUUUUGAUAAGGUCAGAAUGGAUCCUCGGAACAAAGGAGUUGAUCUUGACAGUUUAAUGUAUAGUAAAAUUAAUGGACUGACAGAACAAGAGCUAAAAAAGCAAGAAGCGGAUUACAUCUACCGUUACCGGUACAAUGGAGGUGGAGCAACUCAAGUUUGGCUGAGUUCUGGAAGAUUUGUUGUAAUAGAUCUGUCAGCAGGCCCUUGUACAUAUGGGAAAAUAGAAAGUGAAGAAGGCAGUGUUAGUUAUAGGUCAAUGCCGCGGCUGUCAAAUAUAAUCUUCCCAAGAGGACUUGCUGCUCCAAGUGCCAGUUCAACACAAGAUAUUUUUGUUGGGCAGCUUGCAGGUUUAAUUUCAACCACCAUUGAGCACGUAAUAGCUCCUGAUAUCAGGUUUGAAACUGUUGACAUGACAUUGAGGUUGCUUGUACCUAUCAUUGUGCUACAGAACCACAAUAGGUACAAUAUUCUUCAAGCCGGCCACAACAACAGUAUAGAUGUUAAAGCUAUUGAAAGAGAGGUAAAAAAGAUGGUCCAUGCUGGGCAGGAGGUUAUAGUAAUUUCUGGUUCGCAUGCACUGCAUGAGCACGAAAAGUUAGCUGUUGCGGUCUCCAAAGCAAUGCGUAGUCAUUCUCUUCAUGAAACAAAGAGUGAUGGUCGAUUUCACGUCCGUACCAAAACAUACUUGGAUGGAGCAAUACUCAAAGAGGAAAUGGAACGUUCUGCCGAUGUGCUGUCGGCUGGUUUAUUGGAAGUCUCGGAUCCUUCCCUCUCAAGUAGAUUCUUCCUGAAGCAGGUGUUAUCUAUGAGAAACAAUUUUUGUCAACAACAGCAUUGGAUGGAUGAGCAAGAUAAUGUACAAGAUUCUAUCAAGCACAAGCCUAUUUGGGAAUCUUACAUGCCCAGAAAUAAGAAAGAAAAGCGAGGAGCUGGAAAAAAGAAACAUGGAGCCAUGUACAGAACUUAUGGAACCAGAGUGAUUCCAGUCUUUGUAUUAUCAUUGGCUGAUUUUGAUGCUGAGCUUAUGAUGGAAGAGGAAAGCCUUGUUUGGACAAGUAAAGAUGUUGUCAUUGUAUUGGAGCAUAACAAUAAAAUGAUUCCUCUAAGCUACGUGUCAGAAACAACUAGGCAGUUUGCGUAUCCAUCUCUAGCACAGCGUCACAUCUUGGCUGGUUUGGCUUCCGCAGUUGGAGGUCUGAGUGCACCGUAUGAACGGGCAUCACGUAUUCAUGAAAGACCAAUUGUGAACUGGCUAUGGUCUGCUGGUUGUCAUCCUUUUGGACCAUUCUCAAACUCCUCUCAGAUCAGUCAAAUCCUUCAGGACGUUGCACUGAGAACUACAAUCUAUGCCCGGGUUGAUGCAGCUCUUCGCAAAAUAAGGGACACGUCAGAGUCCGUUCAAUCAUUUGCGUCAGAUCAUCUUAAGACGCCAUUAGGAGAACCUGUCAAAGGUAAUAAAAACAAGUCUAGCACUGAGUUAUGGGUAGAGAAAUUCUAUAAGAAGGUGACCACAAUGCCGGAGCCUUUCCCCCAUGGCCUUGUUGAACGUUUAGAAGAGUACCUGGAUAGGCUUGAGGAACAACUUGUGGAUCUAUCUUCAUUGCUCUAUGACCACCGUCUGGUUGAUGCUUCUCAAAACAGUUCCGACAUCCUUCAGAGCACUAUAUUUACAGAACAGUAUGUAGAACGUGUUCUUUCUGCGGAGAGAGACAAGAUGAAGUGCUGCAGCAUUGAAUAUAGUCACCCGAAACAGUCAUCCCAGGCUUUUGUCUAUGGAGGGAUCCUUCUGGCUGGAUUUCUUGUCUACUCAUUGGUUAUUUUCUUCUCUUCACCAGUUCGAUAA